This 484-nucleotide ribosomal RNA is filed under the name uncultured bacterium. Its description in RNAcentral is "partial 16S ribosomal RNA". It matches the Rfam family "Bacterial small subunit ribosomal RNA", at positions 30 to 507 of the family's 1533-position model. The record is from RNAcentral.
AUUGAACGCUGGCGGCAGGCCUAACACAUGCAAGUCGAGCGGAUGAAGGGAGCUUACUCCUGGAUUCAGCGGCGGACGGGUGAGUAAUGCCUAGGAAUCUGCCUGGUAGUGGGGGAUAACGUCCGGAAACGGGCGCUAAUACCGCAUACGUCCUGAGGGAGAAAGUGGGGGAUCUUCGGACCUCACGCUAUCAGAUGAGCCUAGGUCGGACUAGCUAGUUGGUGGGGUAAAGGCCUACCAAGGCGACGAUCCGUAACUGGUCUGAGAGGAUGAUCAGUCACACUGGAACUGAGACACGGUCCAGACUCCUACGGGAGGCAGCAGUGGGGAAUAUUGGACAAUGGGCGAAAGCCUGAUCCAGCCAUGCCGCGUGUGUGAAGAAGGUCUUCGGAUUGUAAAGCACUUUAAGUUGGGAGGAAGGGCAGUAAGUUAAUACCUUGCUGUUUUGACGUUACCAACAGAAUAAGCACCGGCUAACUUCGUG